RNA transcript from Anopheles arabiensis, 1236 nucleotides. RefSeq lists it as uncharacterized. NCBI's taxonomy places the organism in Eukaryota, Metazoa, Arthropoda, Insecta, Diptera, Culicidae. The record is from RefSeq and is a predicted model, not a curated record. The transcript is spliced from 2 exons.
UUCAACCCCGCGCUCCUCUUUGUAGAAGUGAAACGGUUUUGCGCAAUGCUUACCUUAUGUGGGCGCGUGUGGCAUGUGCCAAAGAUUAGACCGAAACGGAGGGUGGUGGGAGGUAGUGAAAGAAAGGAAUAUUGUAACGAGAAUUUCAACUACAACAACAACAACAACAGCAAAAAACUGCACGAGGCAGCGCCAAAUCGCGCGACCAUCGUCAUCACCAUCGGUCGGUUUUGCGGACGGGAACGGCAGAUAUUUCCCACGUGGUUCGGCCACGUGAUGGCACGGGUCCUACACUACAUGCAAAAGGGAGGUUUGCGUUCGAAUUGGCGCGACGGUAAAACGGUAUCGGACUCGCCGGGAGCGUCGUCGACAGCGCCGUGUGAUGGAAUAUUUUUCCAACGCUUCGCGUGGCCUCAGAUCGUAAACACACCGUGACACCGUGGAGGAAGGGCUGUGAAAGGGUUGUAGGGGCGAGGGGGGAGUGAUGUGCGGGUAUCAUGUAGCUCGUGUCGAUCAUUAGCGUCGCACAAAGGACGUGUCCCGCGUGUGGUGUGGCACUAUCUGGACAGCUGGACAGCUCCUUCAGAGGAUUUUAACCCCUUUCCUUCGUCAAACGCGAGGAUGGAAUUAUGACAAGUGAGGGAACAUUAGCUAAUUAGAAAGCUUUCGCUAAGCUUUCUUAUCAUUCAAGAGUAUGACAGAUUUUAUUUAAAAAAAAACAAGCUAUUUUUAAGUUUCUUCAGUGUUUAAAUGCAUCUUUGCAGACGAUCUACUACCAAUAUCAAAAUGGAACCUUUCUUGAUGCCGAUUGAAGACGUCCAGGAACACCAACUUUGCAUAACUACUAUUCAUCAUUCACGAAUCCUCCCCAAUUCUUGACGCCCGCCGACGACGUGUGCAGUUGAUGCAACGGCGAUGCAUUUCUCUGGGCCAUGGCGAGUGGACUUCACGUGUCGCCGCUGGCCGAUCGGUCCCGGAGUGCACGGUGGCAUCGAAUGUAUAUUCCGCCCAGCCCCCUGAUGCAGCAAACCCCAUCAGCUCAUGCCGUCACGUUUCCAGGCCGUCCGACUCGAGUUAGGAGCGGAAAACGUGCCGAAUCUAGUUGAAUUAAGUGGUGUACAGAACCCGAACGAAAUGCGCCUCCUAUUUGCGCGUCGAUGGAUUACGGAAGUGGAAGCUUAUCGGUGGAGGGUUGAGCAAGGGAGUUCUUUACAAAUAAAAGGGAGGCAUGUGAUU